CAGAACGUGGCUAAGACAGAAAAGCACCUCCCCUACACCGAGGAAUCACCUGUGCAAGUCAGGUCGUCCUGA
Molecule: transfer RNA, 72 nt
Filed under: Priapichthys annectens
Lineage: Eukaryota; Metazoa; Chordata; Actinopteri; Cyprinodontiformes; Poeciliidae
Description: tRNA-Val
Rfam family: tRNA
About the family: Transfer RNA (tRNA) molecules are approximately 80 nucleotides in length. Their secondary structure includes four short double-helical elements and three loops (D, anti-codon, and T loops). Further hydrogen bonds mediate the characteristic L-shaped molecular structure. tRNAs have two regions of fundamental functional importance: the anti-codon, which is responsible for specific mRNA codon recognition, and the 3' end, to which the tRNAs corresponding amino acid is attached (by aminoacyl-tRNA synthetases). tRNAs cope with the degeneracy of the genetic code in two manners: having more than one tRNA (with a specific anti-codon) for a particular amino acid; and 'wobble' base-pairing, i.e. permitting non-standard base-pairing at the 3rd anti-codon position.
Source: RNAcentral